This 274-nucleotide ribosomal RNA is filed under the name uncultured bacterium. RNAcentral describes it as "partial 16S ribosomal RNA". It matches the Rfam family "Bacterial small subunit ribosomal RNA", at positions 523 to 796 of the family's 1533-position model. The record is from RNAcentral.
AUACGUAGGUCCCGAGCGUUGCGCGGAGUCACUGGGCGUAAAGCGUCCGCAGCCGGCUCCGUAAGCGGGAUGGCAAAGCCCACGGCUCAACCGUGGAACGGCAUCCUGAACUGCGGAGCUUGAGGCACGCUCAGGCAGGCGGAAUUCCCGGGGUAGCGGUGAAAUGCGUAGAUCUCGGGAGGAACACCGAAGGGGAAGCCAGCCUGCUGGAGCUGUCCUGACGGUCAGGGACGAAAGCCAGGGGAGCGAACCGGAUUAGAAACCCUAGUAGUCC